RNAcentral lists this long non-coding RNA (306 nucleotides) under Hordeum vulgare. RNAcentral's name for it is "long non-coding RNA (HVUL_LNC019746)". The record is from RNAcentral. Lineage: Eukaryota; Viridiplantae; Streptophyta; Magnoliopsida; Poales; Poaceae.
GCGGCCCAGGGUGUGGGAGCCCGACAGGACCACCAUGUCCUCCGCGUUGAGGCCCCUCAUCUCGAACCCUGUGACGAGGCCGGCCGCCGUCAGGUUCGGCCCCGGGAGGGUGAACGCGCCGGCGUCGGUCGAGAGGUUACCGUCGCGGCGGCCGGAGGGGACCUGGUAGAAGGCGUUGCUGCCGGUGAUGUUCACGCUGUCCCGGGCGGCGAAGGCCAGGAUGUCGGCGCAUGACACCGUGCGCGGGCAGCUCUGCUCCAAUGCGGCCCUGGCGGCGUUCACGACCUCGAAGCCACGCAAGCUCGG